This 306-nucleotide ribosomal RNA is filed under the name uncultured Pseudomonadota bacterium. RNAcentral's name for it is "bacterial SSU rRNA". It matches the Rfam family "Bacterial small subunit ribosomal RNA", at positions 28 to 351 of the family's 1533-position model. The record is from RNAcentral. Lineage: Bacteria; Pseudomonadati; Pseudomonadota.
GACGAACGCUGGCGGCGUGCCUAACACAUGCAAGUCGAACGGUGUCCCCGCCUCGGCGGGGGCAUAGUGGCGCACGGGUGAGUAACGCGUGGGAACCUGCCCCGUGGUACGGAACAACUCCGGGAAACUGGAGCUAAUACCGUAUGUGUCCUGCGGGACAAAGAUUGUAUCGCCAUGGGAUGGGCCCGCGUAGGAUUAGCUAGUUGGCGGGGUAACGGCCCACCAAGGCGUCGAUCCUUAGCUGGUCUGAGAGGAUGAUCAGCCACACUGGGACUGAGACACGGCCCAGACACCUACGGGUGGCAG